GGGGAGUGGCGCACGGGUGAGUAACGCGUGGAUAUCUGCCUUUUGGUUCGGAAUAACCCCGGGAAACUGGGGCUAAUACCGGAUGGUUCCUACGGGAUAAAGAUUUAUCGCCAAAAGAUGAGUCCGCGUACGAUUAGCUAGUUGGUGAGGUAAUGGCUCACCAAGGCGACGAUCGUUAGCUGGUCUGAGAGGACGAUCAGCCACACUGGGACUGAGACACGGCCCAGACUCCUACGGGAGGCAGCAGUGGGGAAUAUUGGACAAUGGGGGCAACCCUGAUCCAGCCAUGCCGCGUGAGUGAUGAAGGCCUUCGGGUUGUAAAGCUCUUUUGGCGGGGACGAUGAUGACGGUACCCGCAGAAUAAGCCCCGGCUAACUUCGUGCCAGCAGCCGCGGUAAGACGAAGGGGGCUAGCGUUGUUCGGAAUUACUGGGCGUAAAGCGAGUGUAGGCGGUUGUCCAAGUCAGGUGUGAAAGCCUUGAGCUCAACUCAAGAAAUGCACUUGAUACUGGAUGACUAGAGGACCGGAGAGGAUAGUGGAAUUC
RNAcentral lists this ribosomal RNA (544 nucleotides) under uncultured bacterium. RNAcentral describes it as "bacterial SSU rRNA". It matches the Rfam family "Bacterial small subunit ribosomal RNA", at positions 90 to 669 of the family's 1533-position model. The record is from RNAcentral.